CUCUGGUACCACCCCGCCCUCCAACCGGGGAAAGCACGCUGGGAAACCGACACUGGCUUUACAUCUGACUUGCUGUUGACCUUGGACCCUCUCGGAUCUGUUUCCUCGUUAGUAAAGUACGGAGAUCAUAACAGUACUAACCUCCAGAAUGAAUGCGUGCUGGCCAAAACCGCUACGCCUGGUGAUGAGAAGGCUGAUCAGAUCUUUAAUGCUGCGGUGGAUCUAAACUUCUGUGAUACUUACGGAGAUGGAAGAUGCUGCCCACGUCUGCUUGGCACUUGCCGGAUCUGUUCACACCUAAGGCUUCCUAACUCAUGCACCUGGAACUCUGCCUGAGAGCUUGCUCUGGCUGCAGGAGCAAACUUGGCCUGCACAUGGGGAUGACCAGCAAAGUCAGGGAGUUAAUGCCGCAGGAGCGGAAGUCAAGCACUGAUGGAUGAGAGCUGCUGAAUGUAUAUCCUGACUUCCUCACUUCCCAAUGGGCAGCUUUGAGACCUUUCAGUCAUAUGCCUCCUGUUGUUGCCCAGCUGGAGGGAGCCCCAGUUGCCCACAGGAGUGGCCUGCUCCUCAUACCCCCCCGAUGUGGCUUCCUUCCCUCCUGAGCCAUGUCCCUGCCCCUUGGUGGUGCUUCGUGGAUCAGCUGCCAUAGAAACUGCGUGCUCGGCGCUGGAGCUUAGUGUCUCCCUGAGUGGUCCUGGCAUAGUGGUCAUCAUCAGCCCCGGAGGCUUUGAGGGGCUCAAGCCUGGGUGGCAAAUCUGGAAAACAAAUCUCCCUCCCCCGAAGAUCAAGUCCAAAGGAUAACUAUUCCAGGAGCCAGCGAUAGACGUCUGUCUGUCUUGUACCACCUUGGUGCUGGUACCUGGAUCUUAAAAGACUGUUUGAAAUGUAUCCUGAGUGAAACAACCAGGGCUGGGAAUGCUGAGUGCAGGAAUGAAUGAAUGAGCAUUGACCCACGGAUCUCCGUCCACAUCGCUGCUGCCUCCGGGCUUAUGACAAGGAAGGCCUGGCAACACUUAGGGCUGUGGGGAAGGAGUAAGUUGUUUGAACAAGGGAGCCAUGAUUCACAAUCAAAGCAGUAAUAAGAGCCCAGACAUCAUGAGUUCACCUGUCUAGGUCACAAAUUACCUUCACAGCCAAGAUCUCACUUACUAUCCCCAACGACCUGACCAGGAAGGUUUUCUUUUAAUUACUAUGAUUAUUAGUUGUAUCAUCAUUACCCGCAUUUCAUCUUACUGUAGGAUGUAGCCAGUGCCUCCUGAGUCCUGACAGACAUGAAUAAUCAGUCAAGGUGUCCUCACCCACUGAGCCUCAGUUCCUUCUCCAUCUAGCACUGUAGGCAGGGCUACCAAUCAACUGACGUUGGCAUGAAAGCCGAAACCCAUCUUGCUUCUCUGGCUAGCAGCUUUCCUGACAACAAUAAAUUCUUAUUAAAUUAAAUUGAAAGGCUCAAGGAAGAAGAAGCAAGCUAGGCUUAGGGCCUGUGUCUCCUGAUGUCUCAGCCAGUGCAGCACUCUUGAGUGCAGACAUCAGUUAGAAGGCUGCUUCGUUAAGAAAGUUUCCCUCAUUUCUCUAACUUAAUGAGACAGCCCCAGAUACUGGGAUGACAGGUAUACACAAACAGAUACACACACCCUUUCUCCAAGGCAGACUUCCCUUAAAACUUAAAAAAGGAGAAAAAGAAAAAAAAUCAGGGCUUUCCUGGUGGUCCAGCAGUUAAGACUCCUUCCUUCCAAUGCAGGCGGUAUGGGCUUGAUCUCUGGUUGGAGAAAUAAAAUUCCAUACGUCUUGUAGCAAAAAAA
Capra hircus (goat) is the source of this 1799-nucleotide long non-coding RNA. RefSeq lists it as uncharacterized. Lineage: Eukaryota; Metazoa; Chordata; Mammalia; Artiodactyla; Bovidae. The transcript is spliced from 2 exons. The record is from RefSeq and is a predicted model, not a curated record.